AUUGAACGCUGGCGGCAGGCCUAACACAUGCAAGUCUAGCGAGCGGCGGACGGGUGAGUAAUGUAUGGGAAACUGCCUGAUGGAGGGGGAUAACUACUGGAAACGGUAGCUAAUACCGCAUACCAUCAGAUGUGCCCAGCUGGGAUUAGCUAGGAGGUGGGGUAACGCCUCACCUAGGCGACGCUCCCUAGCUGGUCUGCGAGGAUGACCGGCCACACUGUAACUGAGACACGGUCCUGACUCCUCCGGGAGGCAGCAGUGGGUAAUAUUUCACAAUGGGCGCAAGCCUGAUGCAGCCAUUCGGCGUGUAUGAAGAAGGCCUUCGGGUUGUAAAGUACUUUCAGCGGGUAGGCGUUACCCGCAGAAGAAGCACCGGCUAACUCCGUGCCAGCAGCCGCGGUAAUUC
RNAcentral lists this ribosomal RNA (406 nucleotides) under uncultured bacterium. Its description in RNAcentral is "partial 16S ribosomal RNA". It matches the Rfam family "Bacterial small subunit ribosomal RNA", at positions 30 to 526 of the family's 1533-position model. The record is from RNAcentral.